This 448-nucleotide ribosomal RNA is filed under the name Micromonospora sp. EXM-4-7. RNAcentral describes it as "bacterial SSU rRNA". It matches the Rfam family "Bacterial small subunit ribosomal RNA", at positions 60 to 527 of the family's 1533-position model. Lineage: Bacteria; Bacillati; Actinomycetota; Actinomycetes; Micromonosporales; Micromonosporaceae. The record is from RNAcentral.
AGUCGAGCGGAAGGCCCUUCGGGGUACUCGAGCGGCGAACGGGUGAGUAACACGUGAGCAACCUGCCCCAGGCUUUGGGAUAACCCCGGGAAACCGGGGCUAAUACCGAAUAUGACCUCUGACCGCAUGGUUGGUGGUGGAAAGUUUUUCGGCUUGGGAUGGGCUCGCGGCCUAUCAGCUUGUUGGUGGGGUGAUGGCCUACCAAGGCGACGACGGGUAGCCGGCCUGAGAGGGCGACCGGCCACACUGGGACUGAGACACGGCCCAGACUCCUACGGGAGGCAGCAGUGGGGAAUAUUGCACAAUGGGCGGAAGCCUGAUGCAGCGACGCCGCGUGAGGGAUGACGGCCUUCGGGUUGUAAACCUCUUUCAGCAGGGACGAAGCGUAAGUGACGGUACCUGCAGAAGAAGCGCCGGCCAACUACGUGCCAGCAGCCGCGGUAAUUCA